GGUGAACUCAUGUUUUCUAGUUCUAAGAACCAAUGUAAUAUUGACUAAUAUGUACAUAUUUUUUUUCAUUUAUAACAUUUAGGUUUUACAGAUAGGAUACAAUCAGAAAGAAAAAAAAAUGCUGCUAUUAAACAUCAAAGCUAUACCAUUCCUUGGCAUACACCCAAAGGACUGAGCAUCCUAUUCCACAGAUACUUACACACCUAUUUCCACAGAUAUUUACAUAGCUGUUCCUCUAUUUUUUUUUUUUUUUUGGUUUUUUGAGACUCUAUUUUUAAUAACUAGGAAAUGGAAACAAUCUAAAUCUCCUUCAUCCAUCAAAUGGAUAAUGACGAUGUGGAACAUGCACUCUAUAGGAUAUUAUUAAUUUAUAAAUAAAAACAGAAUCAUAAGCUUUUCAGGUAAAUGAAUGGAACUAGAAAAGAUCCAGAAAGACAAGUGUUGUGUAUUCUCUCUCUUAACAGGCUCCUUGCUUUAAGUUUCAGGUGUAUGUCCAUUGUGAAGUAACUGGAAAAACUGGGAAAGUUCAAAGGGAUCAUUGCCAGGUACAGGAGCAAUAGGGAGGGUGCAGGUAAUCUGACCUGGAAAAUAUGAAAUGACAGGUCUUUAAUUAGAGAGUAGAAUGGAAGAUGGAUUCAGAAGGAAAGGGGAGAGUGAAAUGACAAUAGGGUAUUUGAAAAAGUCCUAAGAAAAUACACUAAUAACUAUUUACCUAAAAACAUCUUAUAAUGCAAGUAAGUCUGAAUAUAAAUAUACAUAAAUAGUUUAAAUGAACUUUUUUCAUCUGGGCUGACAGUGCUUCUUCCAAAAGCUAAAGAUCACCAAACAAAAACUCCAAAUUAGACAUAAGAAUUCCUCUUUUGUGUUGUUGAUUAAAGUAAUCCAAGAGACUUUAAAAACUAAUACUCCAUUGCAAUUGCCUGUGAUGGCCCCCAAGAUGAAGAAGGUAAUCCUUUAGUGCAGAAGACACCAUGGCACAGGUCCCAGAGGACCUGAGCUGGAACUGACCUGAAUGCUUCUUCUCUGAGUAUUAGCUUCAGAAGGCACAAGGCAAGCUUCCAAAGAAGGGAAACAAACAAUAGUCCUACCCAGCUAUGAUGCCUAAUAACCGCAACAAUUACCAGCAUGGAACCAUAGUCUUAUGCACUCACUAGUGGUAUGAAUACCUCCUUGGCUUCAACCAAUAGCUCUCUAUUCAAUUGUGCAAUAGACUCAGGAGCCAGAUGCUGAAGUGAAAGCCUAUUAGCUCAGAGAUGCAGAAAGAACCCAGCUAAACUUCCUCCUCACAGACCUCCCUGUGUUCUCCUUGUCCACACUCAUUUCAGAAACCCUUCAAACUCAAUCUCACUUCCUUCUACCACCUGUGUAUCACUCUAUCCAUCCUCUUGACUCCCUCUUACUCUCUAUAGUUUUUCCUAUUUUCACUCCCCAUCAAGUUCUUGCUUGCUCUGCCCCUUGACCUAUGGUUGAAUGUAUUUAAUUUUUUUUAUAAUAAACAGAAAGCUCUUGAAUUAAAGGAGUAUGCUAAGGCUGAGCCACACCACUACUAGAAACAGGUUUUUCCAUUAAAUAAAUUAAAUAAGAAAAUCUCAAGGUUCAUAGCAUGAUCAAAUAUCUUGCAACACUUUAAAUUUAAGGCCCAUUCAACAAGAGGGAAGUCAUGCCUGAGCAUGAAAACCUAUGUAGUUAAAUCACAGACCUGGGAGAACCUACAGUCAUCAGUUUACUAAACCGCAUAAUUUCUAACCACAUUCUAAAUAUUAGUCCUUAUGCUCACAGAUGAGUGUUGUCCACAUGCCCCAUUAAAGAAACUUCUUUUGAAAGAAGUGAAGAAAAUUUCAGGAAAACAGAACUAAUGAAUAUGCAUAGUUGUGCCGUCAGUCCCAAUGAAUACACCUACAAAAGACUCUGGUACUUUAGGCAGAAGGAGCAUUGCAGAAAACUGUAAGAGCUUAAGGAGCAGGGAGAUGGCUGUGAAAUUGUGUCUACUAGUAAUGUCAGAAACUAUACUCAUGAAGUCUCACCAAAAUUACUGCCUAGAAAAUAGAUUAAUAGAAUAGCACCAAUAGACAUUCUACUGUAAACAGGGAAGCCCGGGAAGCCUCCAUCCUAC
This 2113-nucleotide long non-coding RNA is filed under the name Mus musculus (house mouse). RNAcentral's name for it is "long non-coding RNA chr1:8950309-8952422". Lineage: Eukaryota; Metazoa; Chordata; Mammalia; Rodentia; Muridae. The record is from RNAcentral.